RNAcentral lists this ribosomal RNA (468 nucleotides) under uncultured bacterium. RNAcentral's name for it is "partial 16S ribosomal RNA". It matches the Rfam family "Bacterial small subunit ribosomal RNA", at positions 28 to 507 of the family's 1533-position model. The record is from RNAcentral.
GACGAACGCUGGCGGCGUGCUUAACACAUGCAAGUCGAACGGAAAGGCCCUGCUUUUGUGGGGUGCUCGAGUGGCGAACGGGUGAGUAACACGUGAGUAACCUGCCCUUGACUUUGGGAUAACUUCAGGAAACUGGGGCUAAUACCGGAUAGGAGCUCCUGCUGCAUGGUGGGGGUUGGAAAGUUUCGGCGGUUGGGGAUGGACUCGCGGCUUAUCAGCUUGUUGGUGGGGUAGUGGCUUACCAAGGCUUUGACGGGUAGCCGGCCUGAGAGGGUGACCGGCCACAUUGGGACCGAGAUACGGCCCAGACUCCUACGGGAGGCAGCAGCGGGGAAUAUUGCACAAUGGGCGGAAGCCUGAUGCAGCAACGCCGCGUGCGGGAUGACGGCCUUCGGGUUGUAAACCGCUUUCGCCUGUGACGAAGCGUGAGUGACGGUAAUGGGUAAAGAAGCACCGGCUAACUACGUG